GUGAAUCAUCAAAUUUUUGAACGCAAAUUGCACUCUCCUCGGAGAGUAUGCCUGUUUGAGGGUCAGCCUAUAAAAAAUCGACAUCGUUGCUGUUUCGCGGUGGCGUUCGUCGGAAAUUGGGUCAUCUUAAAUCUUUUGUUUUAAGCGACUUAAAAUUUUCUUUUUGGUUCCAUGAACGUUUCUUAGAUUUAUUUCUUUAAACGUUUAAGGUAUUGAUUUUUAUUAGACGUGACCAACAAUUCGGAUUGCGCCCAUAA
This 257-nucleotide unclassified non-coding RNA is filed under the name Glomus sp. RNAcentral describes it as "partial contains 5.8S ribosomal RNA and internal transcribed spacer 2". The stretch from base 1 to 65 matches the Rfam family "5.8S ribosomal RNA", at positions 84 to 154 of the family's 154-position model. The record is from RNAcentral. Lineage: Eukaryota; Fungi; Glomeromycota; Glomeromycetes; Glomerales; Glomeraceae.